GCUUCCCUCUUUCUUCGUGCCUAAUACAUGCAAGUCGAGCGAACAGACGAGGAGCUUGCUCCUCUGACGUUAGCGGCGGACGGGUGAGUAACACGUGGAUAACCUACCUAUAAGACUGGGAUAACUUCGGGAAACCGGAGCUAAUACCGGAUAACAUGUUGAACCGCAUGGUUCAACAGUGAAAGACGGUCUUGCUGUCACUUAUAGAUGGAUCCGCGCCGCAUUAGCUAGUUGGUAAGGUAACGGCUUACCAAGGCAACGAUGCGUAGCCGACCUGAGAGGGUGAUCGGCCACACUGGAACUGAGACACGGUACAGACUCCUACGGGAGGCAGCAGUAGGGAAUCUUCCGCAAUGGGCGAAAGCCUGACGGAGCAACGCCGCGUGAGUGAAGAAGGUCUUCGGAUCGUAAAACUCUGUUAUUAGGGAAGAACAAAUGUGUAAGUAACUAUGCACGUCUUGACGGUACCUAAUCAGAAAGCCACGGCUAACUACGUG
This 497-nucleotide ribosomal RNA is filed under the name uncultured bacterium. Its description in RNAcentral is "partial 16S ribosomal RNA". It matches the Rfam family "Bacterial small subunit ribosomal RNA", at positions 36 to 507 of the family's 1533-position model. The record is from RNAcentral.